GGGGUUGUACUGGUUUCGACGGGGGUUUUGAAGUUGCGGAAGCCAUUCGCGGACUAGGACCGCGUCACCAACUUAGAAUAAAAUUUAAACGCAGACGAUAAUUUAGCGUACGCUGCCUAAUGGCAGCUGUCGAACUUAAGCUUCUUGCGGUUUAAGACCUCGGCAUCAAAUUAGCAAGGCACUUUGUCCUCAAAGCUUUGAGAGGAUAAAAGAAUUAUGAAGCUACUGAAGUCAUGAGCCUGUCAACCGGCGCUUGAUGGAGGGAAUGUGUGAACUUGUUCACGAAAAAGAUUGACUGUAAUGGGAGAUGCUGCAAUGAAUGGGCUUUCGGACAGGGGUUCGAUUCCCCUCAGCUCCAUAC
This 361-nucleotide transfer-messenger RNA is filed under the name Anaerocolumna jejuensis. Its description in RNAcentral is "Standard tmRNA". It matches the Rfam family "transfer-messenger RNA". From Rfam's summary of the family: Bacterial tmRNA, also known as 10Sa RNA or SsrA, is named for its dual tRNA and mRNA-like properties. Its role is to liberate the mRNA from a stalled ribosome. The record is from RNAcentral. Lineage: Bacteria; Bacillati; Bacillota; Clostridia; Lachnospirales; Lachnospiraceae. RNAcentral also lists the same sequence under 1 other name.